UUUUCUGCAAGGCUAAUCAUCUAAAUUAAUUUGUUAUUUUUAUGAUUUACCAUUGCAUAAGUUAGUAUAAUUUGUUGACAAAGUUUUGUUUUGUGGGAUAGUAGUCAUAAAUUGAGUAAUAUUCAAGGUUUAUGUGUUUUUAUUUUGAUUCAUUAAAUAAGAUGUGUUUGAGUAAUAUUCAAGGUUUAUGUAUAUAUGAGAUUUUGUUGAUUGGCAUAAGGUGUUAGAUAAGAUGUGUUUGAAGUUGUGAAGAUGAAUAAGUGAGACAUGUGUAGCAGAUAUUAGUGAGUGCACAACACAUUAGUUAGGGUUUUGAAUAAUUGCUACAGGUUAGUGAUGUUAGAGAUUGUGUUUUGAGAAAUGUGUAGAUUGAAUUAUGUUUGUGUUUGAUUGUGACACCUUUGAUUAUUGA
Molecule: long non-coding RNA, 412 nt
Filed under: Helianthus annuus (common sunflower)
Lineage: Eukaryota; Viridiplantae; Streptophyta; Magnoliopsida; Asterales; Asteraceae
Source: RNAcentral